GACGAACGCUGGCGGCGUGCUUAACACAUGCAAGUCGAACGGAAAGGCCCUGCUUUUGUGGGGUUCUCGAGUGGCGAACGGGUGAGUAACACGUGAGUAACCUGCCCUUGACUUUGGGAUAACUUCAGGAAACUGGGGCUAAUACCGGAUAGGAGCUCCUGCUGCAUGGUGGGGGUUGGAAAGUUUCGGCGGUUGGGGAUGGACUCGCGGCUUAUCAGCUUGUUGGUGGGGUAGUGGCUUACCAAGGCUUUGACGGGUAGCCGGCCUGAGAGGGUGACCGGCCACAGUGGGACUGAGAUACGGCCCAGACUCCUACGGGAGGCAGCAGUGGGGAAUAUUGCACAAUGGGCGGAAGCCUGAUGCAGCAACGCCGCGUGCGGGAUGACGGCCUUCGGGUUGUAAACCGCUUUCGCCUGUGACGAAGCGUGAGUGACGGUAAUGGGUAAAGAAGCACCGGCUAACUACGUG
Molecule: ribosomal RNA, 468 nt
Filed under: uncultured bacterium
Lineage: Bacteria
Description: partial 16S ribosomal RNA
Rfam family: Bacterial small subunit ribosomal RNA
Source: RNAcentral